Molecule: long non-coding RNA, 1699 nt
Organism: Dermacentor andersoni
Lineage: Eukaryota; Metazoa; Arthropoda; Arachnida; Ixodida; Ixodidae
Source: RefSeq, a predicted model, not a curated record
CCUCAUGCAGACUGCAAGAGCGGAUGGCGCACGACGACCGCCAACGCUCCAAGGCCGCCGCGUAAUGUGGCCGUCACGCGGCUGCCGCUCGGAGCCCCCGGCAGCAGGAAGAGCAGCGAACAGGCACCGCUCAGCAUCCUCCUCUCGAACGUCCACGAGUGUUGAUGCAACGUCCAGGAGCACCGCUGCCCCCCUGUUUGUGUACCUGUAGAGACGGCGCGCGCUGAAGGCCUCCUUUUCAUUCUGCCACUGGUGUUGUCGCCGUCUCUGCUUGUCUCUUCAAUCAACCCUUCGUCGUGUGUCAACAGUACUGGGAGCCGUUACUUGGCUCCAACUUUGGUGGUGUUUGUCAAAUGGUCUAAAACGAACUGACGCAGCACGGAAGCUCCACCUGCUUACUCGGCAGUGCACCAUGAAUGACCCCCUUUUAAGAAAUUCUCGGCUGAACUCCCUUGAUCCCACGUUAAGUCUUCGAGCGCCAUCACAGCUUCGCCGUGGAGACGCCACGCUUUUGCAUCGACUGUGGUUGUGCGUUGAUUUUACCAAAGCCUAUGCGUUCGGCAUAGGCAUGACCGACACCGCAACCUGUGACCACUGCGGACAUGAAGAAUCGAUUGACCAUAUUUUGUGAGCCUGCCCGCAAUACAGUCCACAGAGGGAAUGCAUUCGCCACGAACUUGACCAGAUGGACGACCAACCGCUAACGAAAAAAAGAAUUCUACACCAUGGAAAGGAGCUAACGUCACAGCAAAAGGCCGUGCAAGCGAUAUUGCGCUUUUUGCGAUCUACCGGCCUUUGUGGACGUCUUUAACUGGAACGCCUUUUGUGUGUGUGUUUCUCCGUGUGUGCGUGUUUUUUUUUUUUUUGCGGUUUCCUCUUUGUCAUCUUUCUAACCCCUAUCUCCCAUCCCCAGUGUAGGGUAGCAAACCGGAGACCGAUAUCUGGUUAACCUCCCUGCCUUUCCUAUUUCUCUCUCUCUCUCUCCCAGGGUGACACGCAUUCUAGCCUACAUGACCGAAAUAGGAUAGUAAUUGACUGGAUAACUAAAACCCUAUUUCUUAUUCUUCCUCAUGUAAAUUGGAUUUUGUAUCACUUUAUGUAUACCAAAAAAUAUGAUUCUGAUUCCAUUUCGAUUGCUGAUAUCUCUAAAGUCGAGAAAUUAGGAAAAAAUAGAGAACAGCGGCUUUGAACUCUUGCUUUUUGAAAACGGACAGGAAGGUAUGAUAUUAUUUUUGUGGUCCUUGGGCUAGCAUAAAACGCUCCUGUACACGGGAUAUCCUUGAAAUAAAGGACAAGUCUUAAUCUACAAAAGCAAUUUAUGGCCUAUGUCUUCUUUACACUUGAUGGCCUAUGUCACUUUACACUUUACGCUUGAUUGUUCAUUCGCAUGCACAAAUAUCCUGCUUGGCAAACAUUGUUUGGGUUACCGAAGAGCUACGGUUCUCAAAGACCAUGGCAACUAUUUCUUAAGUUAUACUUGCGCAACUCCAAUUCGCGCUAAGCGUGAGUAUUAUCUAAAAGCGAAUCCCACGUACAACUACGCAUUUGGGCAAACUUUGUUUCGUAUGCACUGCUUUGUCGAGGAAAAAAUUUGCAUUCGGUACCAUUUAUACCAAUUAUAUGAUGCCAUCAUUUGUGAAUUCUAUUUUUGGAAAUGAGCUAUGGUGCACAAAUUUUGAAUCAUUAAAAGCUAAAGACU